This 275-nucleotide ribosomal RNA is filed under the name uncultured bacterium. RNAcentral's name for it is "partial 16S ribosomal RNA". It matches the Rfam family "Bacterial small subunit ribosomal RNA", at positions 79 to 353 of the family's 1533-position model. The record is from RNAcentral.
CUUUCUUUGCUGGCGACCGGCGCACGGGUGAGUAACACGUAUCCAACCUGCCGAUGACUCGGGGAUAGCCUUUCGAAAGAAAGAUUAAUACCCGAUGGCAUAGUUCUUCCGCAUGGUGGAACUAUUAAAGAAUUUCGGUCAUCGAUGGGGAUGCGUUCCAUUAGGUUGUUGGCGGGGUAACGGCCCACCAAGCCUUCGAUGGAUAGGGGUUCUGAGAGGAAGGUCCCCCACAUUGGAACUGAGACACGGUCCAAACUCCUACGGGAGGCAGCAUG